CGGCGACCCGAGAGCUGGGGUGUGCGGCGCCGGUCCCCGCGGAGAGAGGCGAGUCAAAGGUGAGAGAAUAAGAGCAGAUCGAGAUCUGACCAGGGUAUGGAGUGCAACAUGAGCUCUCUGUGCUUCUCUGCUGUGUUUACUGAAGGUCACCUUCCUCCUUGAUGUACAAGCCCAAGACAACAACUCUGCAUUCAGUGUGGCCCAGGUAUUCCAAAGGUUGGAUACCCAUGCAGUCAUCAAGCUCUUUUGGUGGAGGUUUUACUCGACGAUUGCAAUUUAUCAUUUUCAAUCCAGACAAGUACUGACUUCUGAGAAUCAGAAGUAUGUCCUCCUUCUCGUGCCUGCAGUUUCUCUAUAGACAAGCAGAAAAAUUGGGGCAUGCUGCAGUCAGUCUGACAGCUGCCGAAAAUGCGAGUGAUUCAUAAAUAUGUUCCUUCUGUGUGAUGAUUGUUGGUAAGGGUGUAGGACUAAUCUGGAGCCUCUCGUCACUAGCCCAGAAAUAGCUGUUUGGUUUAUAAAGGCAAGACCCGCAAAAAGCAGACCAAGAGCAAAAAACUGCAUGUGAAGCAGGAACAGCAAAUUUUAGUGAAAUAGCUUUGGAGGAGAA
Molecule: long non-coding RNA, 607 nt
Organism: Lagopus leucura (white-tailed ptarmigan)
Lineage: Eukaryota; Metazoa; Chordata; Aves; Galliformes; Phasianidae
Exons: 3
Source: RefSeq, a predicted model, not a curated record